This 572-nucleotide ribosomal RNA is filed under the name uncultured bacterium. RNAcentral's name for it is "bacterial SSU rRNA". It matches the Rfam family "Bacterial small subunit ribosomal RNA", at positions 65 to 622 of the family's 1533-position model. The record is from RNAcentral.
CGCUGAAGGAGGAGCUUGCUUCUCCGGAUGAGUUGCGAACGGGUGAGUAACGCGUAGGUAACCUGCCUGGUAGCGGGGGAUAACUAUUGGAAACGAUAGCUAAUACCGCAUAAGAGUAGAUGUUGCAUGACAUUUGCUUAAAAGGUGCAACUGCAUCACUACCAGAUGGACCUGCGUUGUAUUAGCUAGUUGGUGGGGUAACGGCUCACCAAGGCGACGAUACAUAGCCGACCUGAGAGGGGUGAUCGGCCACACUGGGACUGAGACACGGCCCAGACUCCUACGGGAGGCAGCAGUAGGGAAUCUUCGGCAAUGGACGGAAGUCUGACCGAGCAACGCCGCGUGAGUGAAGAAGGUUUUCGGAUCGUAAAGCUCUGCUGUAAGAGAAGAACGAGUGUGAGAGUGGAAAGUUCACACUGUGACGGUAUCUUACCAGAAAGGGACGGCUAACUACGUGCCAGCAGCCGCGGUAAUACGUAGGUCCCGAGCGUUGUCCGGAUUUAUUGGGCGUAAAGCGAGCGCAGGCGGUUAGAUAAGUCUGAAGUUAAAGGCUGUGGCUUAACCAUAGUACG